ACACUGCUGAAGAGUCCCAUAGCAGGACGAAACGGUUGUCCAGUGC
RNAcentral lists this non-coding RNA (46 nucleotides) under Schistosoma curassoni. The record is from RNAcentral. Lineage: Eukaryota; Metazoa; Platyhelminthes; Trematoda; Strigeidida; Schistosomatidae.